This is a ribosomal RNA of Cercocebus atys (sooty mangabey), 99 nucleotides long. The record is from Ensembl. Lineage: Eukaryota; Metazoa; Chordata; Mammalia; Primates; Cercopithecidae.
GUCUAUGGCUAUACCUCCCUGAUAUUGGAAGCUAAGUACGGUUGGGCCGGGUAAGUACUUUGAUGGAAAACCACCUGGAAAUAUUGAGUUCAGUAGGCU